RNAcentral lists this long non-coding RNA (1410 nucleotides) under Capsicum annuum. RNAcentral describes it as "long non-coding RNA (CANN_LNC020440)". The record is from RNAcentral. Lineage: Eukaryota; Viridiplantae; Streptophyta; Magnoliopsida; Solanales; Solanaceae.
CGGAUAUAAGAAUACCAUAGCAAACCAAUUAAACAACAGGGACAAAAUACUUUGUCUUUAAACACAAAAGUCAAAAUCUAUUAGUUUGAGCCCAAUUUUCCAAUUCUGUAGAAGUGGCUAAGUUCGGGUAGCCAAAUACAAUGAAUAAUGAAAUAAAAGAGGGGAAGAUUAGAAUUGGACCUUAAUAGAGCGUUCUCGUAGAUAAUAAAGAAAUCCGUGCCGAUGAAUCUCGAUUUGAACCUCGAACAACGAAACACCCCAAGUCGAUAAUAUCGAUGUCGAAUUCCACCCAACCGCUUCUAUUUCGCACUAACCCAAACCAAAGCUCAUGAAAACAAAUAUUAAAUUCAUGCCAGAACAGUGAAGUGAAGUUGGAUUAGGUCAUUUCUCGGUGAGUGGGUGAUAGACGAUGAACCGAUGGAAUUUCCGAUGAGAAAUCUCCGGUCGUUCACUGAAAGCUCGAUGUGAUCCCGCCUAAGGUUUUUGGUUUCUGAUUUCAAAACCUUAGGGAUAGGACUGGUUUUCCGGUGGGUUUGUUGGUAUUGGUGUAGUGUACUCCGGUGAGUUUUUGCCGGAAUAGAGGCUCAUGGAUCGGUUCCCCUUCUUUGCUCUCUCUCUUGCGUUUUCUCCCUCUCUCUCUCACGAUCUCUCUCGCAGAUCUCUCUCUCGCUCUGUUCCUCUCUUCUCUCUCAAUCUCCCUCCAUUUCUUACUCUCAAUUUCUCACCUUUUCUCUAUCUCCCUUUACUCUGUGUGUGUCAUCUAUUUUUCGGUGAGUUGUGAGUGUGUGCGUGAGAUUUUUUGUGGGUGAAUCUCUGUAGGUUUCUAUGAGUGAGGUCUGCUAUGGUGAGGAUGAUGGAAUUACCCUGUAUCUAUCUGUUUUUGAAAAAUGGAGAGGAAGAAAGAAUCCUGUAUCCCUUUUUUACUUUUUGGACAAGAAAUAUGAGGGGGUCAUGUGGGGUAGGGGUGAGGGUAGGGGUAUGGGAUGGUGACGGUGGUUAGGUGAGAGGUGAGGUGUUUUUAAGUUGGAGGGUUGAGGGUUAGGUGUUUAUUUUUUAUUGGGUGAGUUGUUGGAAUCUUUAAGAUAAGACAAAAUUGGUUAGGGUUUGUUAUUUGGAUAAAAAAAAAAAGGGAAUAAAUAAAUAAGUAAAAGAUGAGGUGGUUAUUCAUUUGUUUUUCUUGAAGAAAAUUAUAAGAUGGGAUCAAAGUGCGUGAUAACGGAGAAAGGAUUAUUUUCAGCGGGACAAAAUUAUGUGUCUACAGCCACACCCUUAGUAAGUCUUAACGAUGGAACCAACAAGACGGCACACAAACAAAAGAACUAAAGCAUGAUGCAAGAUAAGGCUAAAAGCUGCACAAAGAUCCCGGAAUCAACUGCAGCAUUGCUCCUGGUCUUCUAAAUUUGGAUUCUC